Molecule: long non-coding RNA, 626 nt
Organism: Nematostella vectensis (starlet sea anemone)
Lineage: Eukaryota; Metazoa; Cnidaria; Anthozoa; Actiniaria; Edwardsiidae
Exons: 2
Source: RefSeq, a predicted model, not a curated record
CGUGCCUGACCCGAUGAGUAAAUUGUUAGUGAAGCAAUUCACAAAGCAGAAUAUAGCUUGAAGUUGUGUAUAAGAACAAAAUCAUUCUCCAGAAAAGAAUGUAAAACAGAUCUAACAGAUCUCCCCCAUUCAUAAUGAGGUCGUACGUGUUAUAGGAACGGAGAUAAUUGCUUGUUUAAACUCGAGUGACCUCGUGCCUGACCCGAUGAGUAAAUUGUUAGUGAAGCAAUUCACAAAGCAGAAUAUAGCUUGAAGUUGUGUAUAAGAACAAAAUCAUUCUCCAGAAAAGAAUGUAAAACAGAUCUAACAGAUCUCCCCCAUUCAUAAUGAGGUCGUACGUGUUAUAGGAACGGAGAUAAUUGCUUGUUUAAACUCGAGUGACAUCGUGCCUGACCCGAUGAGUAAAUUGUUGGUGAAGCAAUUCACAAAGCAGAAACUAGCUUGAAGUUGUGUAUAAGAACAAAAUAAUUCUCCAGAAAAGAAUGUAAAACAGAUCUUAAAUGAUUGUAAUAAACGGAGAAGUAAUUCUGUCAGGUUAUGUCCGGGUGGUUAAGAUUAUAGGGUUAUGAGACGACGGGUUAAGGUUGUAAUAAGAGAUGGGGUUGAUAAUAAAACGACAUGAGAGU